AGAGGAACCCCUGAUUUAUUUGG
This 23-nucleotide microRNA is filed under the name Monodelphis domestica (gray short-tailed opossum). RNAcentral describes it as "mdo-miR-7285-5p". The record is from miRBase by way of RNAcentral. Lineage: Eukaryota; Metazoa; Chordata; Mammalia; Didelphimorphia; Didelphidae.